Molecule: non-coding RNA, 31 nt
Filed under: Mus musculus (house mouse)
Lineage: Eukaryota; Metazoa; Chordata; Mammalia; Rodentia; Muridae
Source: RNAcentral
UCCCUGUAAGCUAAAUAUUCACUGAUCCUCC